RNAcentral lists this ribosomal RNA (438 nucleotides) under uncultured bacterium. RNAcentral describes it as "bacterial SSU rRNA". It matches the Rfam family "Bacterial small subunit ribosomal RNA", at positions 16 to 460 of the family's 1533-position model. The record is from RNAcentral.
AUCCUGGCUCAGAAUGAACGUUGGCGGCGUGGAUUAGGCAUGCAAGUCGAGGGAGAACCCGCAAGGGGGACACCGGCGAACGGGGUAGGAUCAUCUCGGUGACGUACCCUCCGGACGGGGAUAGCCACGGGAAACUGUGGGUAAUACCCGAUGACCUGGCAGGCGAUUAGGGCUUGUCAGCAAAGGUGAGAUUCCACCGGAGGAGCGGCUGAGACGCUAUUAGCUUGUUGGUGAGGUAAUGGCUUACCAAGGCGACGAUGGCUAGGGGGUGUGAGAGCAUGGCCCCCACACUGGCACUGAGACACUGGCCAGACACCUACGGGUGGCUGCAGUCGAGAAUCUUCGGCAAUGGGCGCAAGCCUGACCGAGCGACGCCGCGUGCGGGAUGAAGGUCUUCGGAUUGUAAACCGCUGUCGGAGGGGAUGAAGUGUAUGGGAG